CCGGUGCGAGGUCAUGCAGGUAAAGUUUGGGUAGACCUGCUAGGGUAAACAGUGAGAAUGUUGGCUGCAGUGCACCGGUCAGAGUGUGUACUUUGUCUUAUCAUCUUGCACACAUUGGAUAGGGAUGACCUACUUUCAGUUUCUGUAUCGGCAUAGCAUCUGGACCCGCUAGAUUAUCGAUUGACGGAAGCAAGCCGCCCGUGCUCGCCGUCUCGGCAGCGGAUCGAAGAAAUUCCCACGGAUUUUUACUCUUUUCGGCACACGGAAGUGAAUGCUGUGGCAGCUUGGGGGUCUGUGGUCUGGAGCUCGAACGAAGAACCACCAUCGGAAUGGAGUAGUUUCAACAGAGUGCCUGGAUACUGCAAUGUGCAAUUCUCAUCAUAAUGUUACUUGGAUUACAAAGCUUUCUCUCUGGAUUGUAGUGAAGAGAUAGUGGAGUACUGGGGCAUAUUUUCUACCCCACUCGCGUUUCUGCAUCUCGUAUCUGUGCACUGUGGCUGUGGAGAUCAAAGGGAACCAAAAUGGCGUUCGCUCGUCGGAUAAUAAUGGAUCUUGUUUUGAUUGUCCUGUGUCUGUCUGUUGUCAGUGCACAAUGGCAGUAUUCGCUUCCUGAAGAAUCUCAGUAUGAUUUAUCCGAAAAAGCCUUUGUCCAAAAAUAUCGUCGUCAAGCAGAGACGACAGCGUAUGAUGAAAUAAUUACACAGCCUUCCCCAAUCCCCGAAGAUGCAGGCAGCGACACUGUCUUGUUUGAUUUCAACACAGUAACCAUCAGCAGUGAGGCAGCAUCCACCUUUACUUUCCAAGUUAUAGAGACAACGGACAGCGUUCCUCAGUAUGAGGGCCUGUUUGUUAUUGAGAAGAGACAGGUCCGUUUUGGACAUGCACUCUCAGACACAGAGAGACGGAAUUACUUUGAUUAUGAGCAGUAUCCCACAGUUGUCAUCAUUAUUGUAGCAACACAGGAGCUUGGAUUUCAUGAGAAAAAGUGGAUCAAGCUCUCCAUUCCCCUGGUGGAUGUCAACGAUGAGUCUCCAGUCCUCAAGAACAAGCCAUACCCAUACCAGGCAGCCAUCCCUCUUGAACCGGAGCCAGGCCACACAGUUUACGAACUGCUGGCAGAAGAUCCCGACACAAAUUCGGAACUGGAGUACCGUAUUGCUGAUGAAGCAGAUCCUGAUGUGAAGGCCUUCUUCAGGAUGGAGCAGGUGGUGGAGAAGGAUGGGACACCUGACAAGAUCGUCGAAGGACACAUCAAAGUGUCUCUGAGAACAGCUUUCACCGAAGGCAGAGAAUUUAACAUUCCAGUGACAAUCCGUGACAAGCAAGCGGUUGGUCAGGUCACCACAGCCACCAUCAAUGUUCUAGUUGGACCCAGACCACCUCAGUUCUUUCAAGAAAAAUAUGAGGGAUGGAUUUUUGAGACUGAGAGCACCAACAACCAAGUGUACACCAUGCCCGACCUAAACGGUGAAUUGAUCAUCCAAGUCCGCCAGUUCCAGGAUGGUUAUCCGAUGACAUUCCGAGUUCUAGAUGAAAACAACAGAGAAUCUACACAGUUCCGUAUUGAUGGAAACGGCCGCAUUUACAAUAAAGCUGCUUUGGACUUCGAUGUGCCGAGAACUCUCCGUCCCCCAAAGUCACGGCUGAUCAUAAAAGUUACAGAAACAUCAGAUUUUAAAAAUCUGGAAAAUACAGUUCCUUUGGAGAUCACCAUCAAGGAUGAAAACGACAAUGCCCCAAGAUUCCACUUGACUCAGUACAUGGAGACGGUGCGGGAAGACCUCAAUGUGGGAGAUACCGUCAUGAGAAUUUUUGCUGAUGAUCAUGACUCAGAUGACAAUGCUUUUGUCACGUAUGAAGUGGACAGCCCUUACUUUGACAUAAAGAAAGUCGGUAAUGAGGGAGUGAUCACCGUCAAGCAACGAUUAGACUUCGAUGCAGAGCCAGGCCCGAGGUAUCGCUUUGUGGUGUAUGCCAAAGACAACGGGGUGCCAGCACUGUCUAGCUCGGUGGAUGUGGCCAUCACCACAGAGAAUGUCAACGAUGAGGUGCCCACCAUCAUCUCGCCCGGCGUUCUGGUGCUGAGAGACGAGGUCAGAGGGGGAGGCUUCACUCUCACGAGACUGCGUGCCAGAGACGCCGAUGGAGACAAUGUUCGCUUCUACUUCAGUCCUCGCUCGGAGAGGUAUGAGAUCUUCAGCAUCAAGCCGUCAUCCGGAAUCAUCCAGGUAGUGGCUCCUGUCCCCGAGGACCGCGACUCCUACAUCCUGAAUAUCACGGCAGAAGACGAUGGCUCGUGCUGCGGCAGCAUCAAGACACUGCAGAGCGAGGCCUCCGUCACUGUGGAGAUCGUCGACUCGGUCAACCAGAAGCCUGUGUUCACAAACUGCCUCAACUACUCCAAUGUCGCGGGAUUUGAUGAAGAUAUUGAACCUGGGGAGCCUGUCAUUCAAGUGAGUGCGUCUGACCCGGACCGAGGCUUGAACGGCAUCGUGACCUAUUCCAUUGAGUCUCCCUCUCCUUCCCUGAGUGACGCGCCGUUCCAGAUUGACCCAGAGAGUGGGAAGAUCACCAUCAAGACAAAAGUCAACAGAGAGGCCUACAGGAAAGAUUUUAUACAGGUGACGGUGAAAGGUUCUGAUGGAGCCCAGAAUCCUCAAGAGGGAUGGUGCACAUUCCGAGUCAGCAUCAGGGAUAUAAACGACAAUGACCCGGUCUUCAAUUCCCUGAGCUACAGCGAAAAGAUCUCUUCCAAUGCCCAGAAGGGCAGGAUCAUUCUCCGUGUUGGUGCGACAGAUGCAGACAUCGGUGACAACGCCAGAAUCUCGUACUCUCUGAUAAAGAAUGGCAAUGGCGUGUUUGGUAUCUACGAAGAGAACGGUCUGAUUUUCCUGAAAAAAGCUCCAUCUGUCACUCAUUACGAACUGCUGGUCAGAGCUCAGGACCAUGGAGUGGAACCCAGAAAUGCAACGGCCAGUGUGACCAUCGAUGUCGCCUCUGAGACCAGUGAGCCACCCACAUUCGACGACGAUGUGAUGUCUCCGGGUUACCAUUACCGAGUGGCCGAAACGGUCAACCCAAACUCUCAGGAUGCCAUCAUCACCACACUGACCUGCAGGUCCAACAUGGACAAUCCCAGGGUCCAGUACUUUUUGGUGGACUCCCGCGACAUUGUGCAGUCACAGCAAGCUGGCAACUUUGCCAUCCGAGAGUACCAGGAGGGGGGCCGCUACAAGGUGGACGUGAUGGUGGCCGCACAGCUCGACUACGAGAAAGCCAAUCAGCACACCAUCCAGCUGCGCUGUCAGAACUUUGGCGGCCUGACCAUGUAUGAGCAGAUCACGGUGACGGUAGACGUGGAGGAUCGCAACAACAAGGUGCCCUACUUUGAGGGCAUGGACAGCAAUGGCCGCUAUGCUGGGAGUGUGUUCGAGAACACCAACGCCGGUGCUCUGGUCAUUGAAGUGCAAGGUUAUGAUGAUGAUGUUACUCCCAGCUACAAUCAGUUGGUGUUCCGGCUUUCGGAACAGAGCUAUGACGGUGUUUUGAAUGACUUUGAGAUCCGCAACUUACCUGGCAACAAGGCUGGCAUCCACACCAAGCGACCAUUCGACAGAGAGGAACAGCCUCGUUUCUUCCUCACCGUUAUUGCUGAUGACCAGAGUCCUUCUGACAGGAUCAAUCACAAACCUCCAGGCAGUUCUAAUACAGCAUCGGUUAUUGUGCAGGUGACCAUCACAGACAAGAACGACAACCCUAUGGAGUUCCGUCAGUCGCUGUACACUCACACGGUAAAGGAGACAGCUAGCAUUGGGCAUGUCAUCUUUUCGGUCACUGCAGACGACAAGGAUGAAGUGGACAAAGGUCAGCUGAAGUACAGUUUCACCAGCCCGGACGACAUCCCCUUUGACAUCCGGGACCAGACGGGAGAAAUUGUCGUUACAGGCAAGCUGGAUUAUGAUGAGGGUGUCAAGUCUUACUUACUGACCCUGGAAUCGCGAGAUGCGGAGAACUUUUAUUCAGCCACCACCCAAGUGAAGAUUGACAUUCUGGACGAGAACGACAACCCGCCUGUGUUUGAGCGGCCGGAGUACAUCAUUGACGAUAAAGUGGUGGAAGAGGACCAGAGCAUUAGCAAAGAGAGUCCUAUGCCGCUGAUACAGGUGAAAGCGACGGACAAGGACGUGGCCCGUACCACCAACAUGCGCUACCGCCUCCUCGGGGAGGGAACUGAGGCCGGGGACAUGCAGCUGUUCACCAUUGACCAGCGCACAGGUCAGAUAUACCUGGUGGGCAUCCUCGAUCGCGACACCAAGUCGGAGUACAUCUUCACGGUGGAGGCCACGGACGAAGACCAGGAGCCACAGAAGGGCUACACCAACAUCAAGGUCAAGCCGCUGGACAUAAACGACAACAAGCCAAAGUUUGACCAGAACCGCCUCACGGGAGAGGUCUUUGAAAACACGGAGCCAGGUUGUCCAAACCUCGACAACUGUCCGCCCAUAGCCGUUGUCAUGACGACAGAUGCGGACUACGGAGAAAAUUCCACCAUCGACUACGAGAUUGUUAGCAGUCCAGCUGAAAGGACAGGAGGUCGCUACUUCGACAUAGAUGCCCAGGGACGCAUUUUCUCUCAGGUGGAGGCGAAGUUUCUGGAUAGAGAGACAAGGCCAAAGUUUGAGGUUGUGGUGAGAGCUAAGGACAGAGGUCCCGAGCCGCAGACAGCCACAGCGACGGUGAUCAUCACGCUGAAGGACCGCAACGACAACCCACCAAAGUUCACACAGAGGGAGUAUCAAGUGUCCAUGUCUGAGCACCAGGAGGAAGGUAUCGUGACUGAAGUGCAUGCCACAGACCUUGACAUUGGGGUGAACGCAGAGCUACAGUUCUCCAUGUCAGAGCAGGCUGCCCUCGUGGGUUAUUUCAAAGUGGACACUAUAGACAACCACGGCGCCAUAUCCGUCUAUCAGCCUGUGGACUUUGAGAAACUGAUGGACCCAGUGUUCCGGCUGGAGAUCAUUGUGCAGGACAAGAACCCGCUCCACCGCGACACGGCCACCGUGGUCAUCACUGUGGAGGACUUCAACGAUGAGGCGCCCAAGUUCAAGGAUGAAUACAUGGAAGUGGAAAUUGAGGAGAACAGAGAACCUGGAAAAGUGAUAGCCACAUUUGAAGCCACGGACGCUGACUCUGGAAUAAACGCCAUGUUUAGCUUCCUGAUAGACCGCGACUCUGACCGGCGCCGUGAGUUUGUGAUCCACCCAGACACAGGCGUUGUGCAGACACGCAAGAAGCUUGACCGAGAGGUGCAGGCCAGUAUGUUUGUGGUCAUCAAGGCUGUGGACAAAGGUGACCCACGCCAAACAGGGACCGCUACUCUUGAAGUGACUGUCACGGAUACGAAUGACAACUUCCCUGUGUUCAAGGAGGAUUACCGACCGGUUGUUAUGGAAAACAUGAAGAAAGGGGACGAAGUUACGGUACUGGAGGUGUUUGCUGUGGACCAUGACACCUUGAUCUAUGGACCGCCCUUUGGCUUCGCUCUGCCAGACAACUGCUCCGCGCUCGCCUGCAGCCACUUUGACCUCACACCCAAUGAUGAUGGCGACGAGCGUAGAGGGACGGCCAUUAUCACCACGCGGUCUGUGUUUGACCGCGAGGAGCACAAGUACUACGAGCUGCCGAUCGUCAUGUGGGACAUGAGGGACAAGAACAGCGACAAGGCCCGCACGGGGACCAACACGCUCACCAUCGUCAUAGGCGACCAGAACGACAACCCUCACUUCCCUGGCCACCAGAACGUAUUUGUUUACAACUAUAAAGGAAUGUUUGGGCCACUCCAGAUAGGUAGAGUUUAUGCUGAAGAUCUGGAUGACUGGGACUUGCCAGACAAAACCUUUACAUUCCUCUCUCCACCCAGCAUGAAGAACUUUUUCAGCGUGGACGAGGACACGGGGGACAUCACCAUGAAGCGCGGCGUGCGUGCCAACUUUGGGGAGGAGCCGUACCAGUUCAAGGUCAGCGUCCACGACAAGAAGACGGUGGUCAGCACGGUGGCCGUCACGGUCAAGGACCUGUCUGAUGAGGCUGUGCAGAACUCGGGGGCUGUCCGACUGGCAGGUGUUACUGCCGAGGAGUUUAUCCUGGAGCCCAAGGACAAACGGACAGGGCGCCGCACGGACAGUCUGUACACCCAGUUCCGGAUGUUGAUGAUGCAGAAGCUGGGCUACGACAGCAUCGACCACGUGGAGAUCAUCACGCUCCUCAACGGGCCGGACUACCUGGAGGUUCGCUACGCCGCCCAUGGCUCUCCGUACUUGUCCUCGGCACAGCUGGACAACAUCAUCAUCAUGAACAAACAGGAGUUUGAGGACCUGGGUGUGUCGGUGCUGACCGUGCCCAUCGACAACUGCCAGGAGGAAGUGUUUGAGGGCGGAUGCUACAACAAGCUGGUGGUGACGGGCCAGCCGGUCCUGGUCAACGCAAACGGCACCAGCUACGUGGGCGUGGAGGCUUACACUGUGGCCGCUGAGGGCUGCAAGUCGGACGAGUUCCCGGAGAAGAACAACUGCGACGGAGGCUACUGCUUCAACGGGGGGACAUGUGUCAAGGAUAACUGGGGCACCCUCUCAUGUGUGUGCAUGGAUGAAUUUGACGGGCCGCGUUGUCAGCAGAGGAGUCACCACUUCGACGGGAAUAGUGUCGCAUUUUACCGCACCUUGGAGCAGUGCGAGGACUCUCAGACCAGCCUGGACUUCAUGACUGCCCAGGACGACGGAGUCAUCUUGUACAACGGGCCCCUGGUCAACAUUGACCCUCUUGAGAGCCCCCAGGAUUUCAUCUUCCUGUUCCUGCGCGGCGGUUUCCCCGUUCUCCUGCUGGACCACGGCACUGGGGUGAUGGAGCUGACUCUGGACGGCACUGACAAACACGGCAGUCAGCUCAUGAAGAAACUCAGUGACGGCCGCUGGCACCACAUCGACAUCAACAGGAAAGGAAAGAUGGUGGAGCUGGUGGUGGAUCGGUGCAGCACGGCGGAGUCGCAGCGUCAACACGUGCAGGAUGAUAAGGCGUGUCGUGUGCGCGCGGAAACACCGGGGGAGAACACGUUUCUCAAUGUGGACACGCACCUUCACCUGGGUGGCGUGCAGGCUGCCAAGCCUCUCAAUCACCUGUCAGGACACCCCAUCGUGGGCUUCAACGGCUGCAUCAAGAACUUAGUCCACAACAAAAGGCUGUACGACCUGCACUACAAGCCUGUGUCUGGCAUCAAUACUGGGAACAACGGCUGCCCACCGGAGGCUGAGUUCUGCGGGCGGGGGAGCUCCAAGCCGGAGUGUGGCUUCAACGGCAUCUGUGAGUCCUCGCUCAGCGGGCUGGUCACCUGCCAGUGUCUGCCUGGAUGGUUCGGCAAGUCCUGUGACAAACCGGCCACAGUGCGAGACUUUGGCAAGAAAAGUUACUACCUGUGGAUGAUGAAGGAAGAGCUCUUUUCCUCCCAGCGACUCAGUCGCAACCGAGAGAUCAGCGCACAGCUCAUGUUCCGGACGAGGGAGACCAAUGGCAUCUUGUUGGAUAUGUACGAUUCUUCGUCAUCAGAGUCUGCUCGGCACAUUCAGCUCAAGCUUCAUAAUGGCAAAGUCAGGUUACAGUUCAACUUGGGUGACGGCGACAAAACUUUGGAUCUGGAGAAUGCCCAGGCCAACAAUGGUCGGUGGCACCGUCUGCGAAUGGACCGCUACGGCACUGAAUUCCAUCUGCGGCUGGAUGGCGGAGAGGGGCGUAACUACGCCUAUCGGUUGGGCUCUGAAGGAGGGACAGAGCUGGAGGUGUUCAAAGUGAGCCGCAUGGUGUUCUCGGGAGCGGUCAAGCAAGGCCUGGGGCUCUCCUCGGUGCUCCGGGAGGACCUCAUCAGCACUUGUAUCCAGGAUGUCCGUAUCAACGACGGCUACUUCGCCAUGACGGACGCCGAGGGCAACGACCCCGAUACAAUGGCGCGGGUGGAGGAGAACCGCAACACACGGGAAGGAUGCGUGCGCGAGGACUGUCUGCGCCACAACUGUAAGGUCAACACGAUCUGUGUGCCGCUCUGGGAGUUCCACGAGUGCCGCUGCCUCCCGGGUUCUCGUAAGGUGGGCAACGACUGUUUCUCCAGCUGCAUCCCCAACCCGUGCUUCAACAACGUGACCUGCAGCAUCGUCAACAGCGACAUCAAGUGUCAGUGUCCGCCAGGCUGGCGCGGUCAGUUCUGUGACGAGCUGGGCCCGGAGGAGGUCAAGAGCGGGGACCUGUCGGAUGGGGCUCUGGUCAUCAUCUUGGUGUCGCUAAUUGUGGUUAUAUUGCUGGCCCUUAUCGUGUUCCUGCUGUGGAGGUUCUGCCCGCACCGCGACGAGGGGGAGAAAUACAUCCUGGAGGUGGACGCGGAGGAUGACAUCAGGGAGAAUGUGAUGAACUAUGACGAGGAAGGAGCUGGAGAAGAAGACCAGGAUGCCUAUGACCUGUUCAGACUGCAGCGCGCUAACUUUGAGACGCCGGGUCGACCAUACGACAUGGAGCGACGGAUGGACAUGAAACAAUCGAAUGCAGGCCCAGACAAACCGGAUGUAGGUAACUUCAUCGACGGUCGCAUGAAGGACGCAGACAACGACGAUGGGGCCCCGCCGCACGACGCCGUUAGAGAGUUCAACUUUGAGGGCGGGGACAGCGAGGCGGGCAGCCUGAGCAGCCUGAGCACCAGCAGCAGCGAGCGCGCUCACGAGUACGACUACCUCAACGACUGGGGGCCCAAGUUCUCCAAACUCGCCGACAUGUACGGGGCGGGCCAGGACUUAGAGGAUUGGUGAUUCCUGCCUAGAUUAGAGAGACAAGACUUUUUGUAGGAAGCUAAGCAAUCGGUGAUUCAUCCCUGAGUUAUACAUGACUCAUUUGUGAGAAUCCGUGCAACUGACGAUUCAUCUUUUUGAAUGGAAACAUGGGUUAUCAGGAAAAUUAACGCCAUUCGUGAUUCGUCGGUGAGGUAAAAGUUGACUUAUCAUUAUGAGAAGCUAUUUCAUUCUUUAGAGGAAUUAUUAUUUGAGUGCGAAUUUAACGCACCUUGUGAGAGAGUCCAUGUCAUCCAUCCAGUGAACAACUUUUUUCAGCUCUUUUGCGUGAGGUGAAAAGGGAUUUGCCUCGACAAUCAAUCAAAUGUGGACUGUGAAAGCCUUAACAAGAUGUGAGUAACUGGUUGUCAUGGAGUGAGCGACUUUAUACAGCAUGUGUCCAUACCACAUACCCUCACUCAAGCUUAUGCUCUUGGAGAUGUUGAAAUAUUGAAAUGGUGGGGGGAUCUACAGGUUUCUUUUGUGGAUGCUGGGUUCUUCGGAAAGAUACUUUUAAUCUUUGUGUGCCCUCACCCGUGGUGGAAAAUGGAUGUCUGUGUCUUCUGGAGGUAAUCCCAUGUCGAAAUAGCAUCCUGUUUAGGAGAAAGUGAUGUCAAGUCCUCUGUUUGACCCCUCGCUCUGGACACUUGGAUUACGCUUGGAUUAGCCCAAUCUUUGUGGGUCUUCAAUGUCUGGGAGGAAGGUAACUUUUCCUAAAUUUAAAGUUGUUGAGCACAGACUUGCGGAUUUGGUUUUAUUACCUUUCCAACUCCGUGGAUGUGCUAUCUCCAAAUUACAGAAUAUUCUACGGACGCAAGUAUGAAGCAUUAACUAGUCACAGAAAUCAAAUCUGGCUGUUAAAAAUGUAUCCUAUUCAACAGGUUUCUCCAUGAGACAGAGUUUUUUUAAAUGGAGAAAAAGCCUUGAUUCCAUAAAAUUAUUUUUAAAUGGUGUGUGGCUGCAAAUGUGUUUGUGAGGAUGAAAUGCAAAGAUUGUAAUCGAGUGUUUGCUGUGCUGCUUGUGUUGAUGUCAGAGCAUGCCCGUCUGAAAGUUGCAGGUGUUUGGCACUUAUGUGUUUGGGGCCCCCUGAUGAAUAAAUCUAUAUUUUUGUACUAUGCUGUAAACCUUUGCCAUGAAUAUUGAAUGUUGUUGCAGGUACGAAGGGAUAUGCUCGGUAGGUGUGCUAUGAUUGUAUGGUGUCGGUGCUGGUAGGCAAUGAUAACUUUUACAGUAAGCUUGCCAUGGAUGUUGACUGUCGUUGCAAGGAUAAGGGAUGUUUUUGGUAAACUUGCUAUGAGUGUUGAAUGUUAUUAAUCGUAAUGAUAAAUAAGAAUGGUAUGGGUGCCCUCAUCGUGGAGAGGAUUUGAAUGGAAAAAAAUCAAUCCUUGGCCCAGUACCUUAUAGCAGUGGACAACUGUUUUGUGCCCAGAAUCGCUCAAGAAAGGAAAAUUCAUUAUUUCUGUGUUUUUUUUCUAAACAGCCGAAGUGAUUCGCCUUCCAAUUCUCAUCCAUGUGUAUGGUCUGUAAGCUUAAAGUGGAUGAGCCGUGGUAUAAGAGUGAAGUUUACGAUAGUGGCUGGAGUUUCUGGUGUGACGGUCGUUCUUUUGAUGAAACAAUGACGUGAAGUUUGUGCGGAGGCUGCAGGUUCUGGAAUCUUUCUACACUUGUUGCCCUUUCCCGACCUACUCAACACUGCUGUCCCUCGUCACACGUCGCUGGGCGGUUACUGCCAGUGACUCGGGCGGUUGUGCCGCAGUGCCAUGUGUGACUCGGACGGAAAAAUCAAUGUGUUCUGUUCUUUACAUUUUUUACGUUUUGAUCAUCAUGAGCUGGCCAGUACUAACCCACUCAGGCUUUGUCUAGCCUGUGUUGUUUCAUUGCCUCGGACUGACAGAAUGGGGGCCUGGGGUUAAAAAGUUCCAUUUACAUUCGCUAUUUAAUGGUUUCUGGUAAAGUAUUUUCUCUUAUGAACUGUGCAUACUCAUAAAGUCCAGAAAUUCUAGGUGCAGUUUUAGUAAGUGAAAGGGAACCAAUUGAAUAUAAUCCUUGAUGAGAAAUGACAUUUAAGACGUCUGUUAUGUUCAAAAGUACUUGCCUCCUCUUUAGUUUACAUUUGGUGUGUUAUAAUAGAUUGACUGUACUAGAAGAAUACUAUUUUAUUUAGAAAGAUCCUUUAUCGUGCAAAACAGACUUAUUUUGUAAAUAGAAAUGUGCUAGAAAAUUCCAUCAUGCUUGAGAACAAAGCUAUUACUUUUGUCAUAGUUCUGAGAUGUAGGAGUAAGAAAAGAUUGGUAUUAUUUUGUAAUUGAAACGUUUUGACUGCAGGCCUGCAAACUGUUUAGUGAAAUCUUUAUUCUGAAUCUGAAUUGUCUGUUCUGUCGGUCAUUAGGCAAAUGCUCACUCUUGUCACUCUUUGGUUGGGUCCAGAUAUUGACACAACCUCCCUUGGUUCUCUCCCCUAAGUUCAAGUCCACACAGGCUUUGGGUAAAAGCUGUCCGCCUAUGGCUGUGGUACAGAAUUCAUUCUUGAACAGUAUUGUUUUCUUCUUCAAAUGAAUUUACAGAAAGACCUCGUUUGUUUCUGUGUCUUGUGUGUACAGGAAAAUAAUUUUUCAAAUGCAAACGCAUGUAAGAUGCAAGCUUAUAUUUAUUCAGCAUACUGCAAUAUUUUUGUUGGUUGUGAACAAUUUUGCUGAACUUUAUUGUAACUGGGUGUUGUGUUUGUUCAGUAAGUAUUGGGUUUUUACUGCAUGGUUGUUAUUUAUUUUCAAAAAAGUGUAUACGUAUACUUACUUCUGUUCAGCACUUUUAAAGUGCACUGGUUACGUACUUGAGUUUUCAGUCAAUAUCUGGUCUAUUUUUGGGUUGGACGAAUCAUUAACAAAUUUUUAUAUGAGGUUGUUAAUUGUUGGACACACAUGAAACGAAUAUAUUAUAUAUAUGGUGAAAAAUGGCUGUAUUUGAAACUCUACUUUACAGAUACCUAUAGUCUUGCUAAUAUGGUUAUACUCUGACUCUGUUAGUGUACAGAAAUGUUAGCCAUUUGAUCUGUGCUCACCUCCGUACUCAUGCUCUGAUGCGAUGACUGUGUUUAUGAAGUCUCAUAGGAAGUCUGAGUUGUGCACUCUGAUCCAGGGUGAAGUUUUGUAUAUUUGUUGUGAGGGUAUGUGGCUAUAGAGAAGGGGAAAUUUGGUCUUACAUAGUGCCACCAGUGGGAAUGUGAUGGAAGUCGCUCUUUCUGUAAUGUUGGCUGUAAGUUGUGUGGUAGUAUAAGAAAGCAGUCAUUGUGCAAGUUUAAUCUCUGACAAAAUGUUGAUGAUGUUAGUGAUUAAUGAUUUAUUAAAGUUCAUUUAAUGUACUGCCCAUACCCUUAUGACGCUACGCAUCUUACCAUAUUACACUAAUAUGAGGUGAACUAGCAAGCAUGUAAAUGUUCAGGGCAUCCUUAAGCUCUUGCAAAUUUUAAAGAUUGCUUUUAAAACCUCUUCCAUGCCAUAUUUAUAUUAUAUAAUAUGGAUGUACCUGGUACAUCAUGUAAUUGCACAAUUUUCCACAUCUUGACACACCAUUGAAUUCACAAUGCAUCUUAUUGAAAGGUUAAAGGGUCUCAUAUUACAGGAUUUGUUUCUUGGUGGUACAAGUUUUUAUGUUGCCCUAUGUGUCCAGUAACGGGGUAUGCUGACACUGUUUAUGUAAUCAUUGUAAUGAAAACGGGCAUGCGCUUUAAAAGUUUAGUCUCCCUAGCUUGAAAAAUGUUGGUAUGAACAAUAAAAAUAGAGGCUGAAUGACUGCUCAAGUAACACCUAUAACUUCAUUUACAAGUAGAAAAGGCAUACUUGAGCCUCCAAGAUAAGCAAUUAAACAAAUUUUUUAGGGGUCAUAGAUAAAGUUGAAGUGGAGAUGUGCUGACUGCAGCCGUUGUGUGCUGAGUACAACACGACAGGCAACUUGACUGGCAUUGUGUUCUCUGGCCAGAUCCAACUUUUAAAACAUCUUCAUGUUCUCUUUUCUCAUACUGAUCAUGCUGCUCUCAUGUCUUUUCGCCAUCUGAAGACGACACAUGCCAAAGCAGAUUUUUAAAGAAUCAUUUCAUUAACCUCACAAACCUCACACAAAAUCUUGAGAAAAGGACUGUGACUGAAGGAGGUUCGAACCUCCAGCCUACCUGUGUGUGUGUGUGUGUGUGUGUGUGUGUGUGUGGUCAGGGUGUGCCCUGAUGAUGAUUUGCCUUACAGCAUCUAGCACACGGAGACUCCACAGCAGCACGGGGGGAGAACACAGAGGGAUGAGUCCGCUCCCCCUUCCUUGUAGAGCAUUCCAUGCAUUAUUUAUCAUAUUUUGUAUCAAUUUGUGUCCCCAUCCCAAUUGUUGCCAUCUCAAAACAUCGGCCUUGCGGACAAUUCGCAUACCUUCAAAAUUGGUUUUUCACACUCUGAGUGCUUGUUUCAAAAUUUGGACCUAAACAGAUAGAUCUCCAUAUAUGCGAGUUGAGAAAUUUGUGAAUAGUAUAGUGUUAUGAUUUUAGCAUGCUUGCAGACUUGGCAUGAGUAUUCAAUAGCAAAUAUUUUUUUUUCUCUAUUUAUUCUGGGUAGCUUGUCCUUUUCAAAUUAAUGCCCAAGUAUGUCUACUAUGGACUGUGUACAGUUCUGAUUUACCUGUAACUAUUGUUUAAAUGUACUUUUUGAUUUUGUUUCCUGGUAAUUUGAGGUUUUGUAGAGUAUGUGGGUUGUUUGCAACGCCGAUAAAAUGUUCCGUCUCAAAGAAAGAACCAAGUCAUAUCACGAUAUAGGGAGGGUACCAUCAAAUUCCCCCCAUGCACUUUUGCCAUAUAGCACCCCAAUACAGUUCACAAAACGCCUGACCAGAACCAUGUGUACUGACCAUUGCCUCCAGGGGGCAUAAGUCUGCUAUUGCUUGUUGCCAAGUGACAGCUGAAUGACUUGUGACAAUUGGCGUAUGAUGUGAUGUCUAUUGAAUGACUUGAAGAAUGCACAGGGUAAUCAAAAUGCUUUUUGUGAGGUAAAGUGAGAGAGACUUAAAAUAAGUGAUGUUAUAAUAAUAAAUAUAGGAAUGAGGGGCAUAAGUCUGCUAUUGCUUGUUGCCAAGUGACAGCUGAAUACUUGUGAAAAUUGGCGCAUGAUGUCUAUUGAAUGACUUGAAGAAUGCCCAGGGUAAUCAAAAUGCUUUUGUGAGGUAAAGUGAGAGAGACUUAUAAAGUAAGUGAUGUAAUAUACGAAUGAGAGUGAAUUAAUUGAUAAACUUUGAAUGUUUAUAGGAAAAUAUAAUUAUUAACACAGAUUUUGAAUUUGUUUUCUAAUUUGCAAGGUUUAUGUGCAAGACAGUUUCAUAUAUGAAUGCCUGUGAAAUUAUCUUACGCAAAUUGUAUGUGAAAGGUUUAUACUCUGUGGUCAUUACAUAUUUCUGAACAUUUGAGAUAUCCCUGAAGGAAGAAUCAUUUAUUUAUCUCUUUUGCCUCCUUGCAAGAAAGGUCCUCAGAGAAGCAGACGUUUUUGAGUGUGUAUUAGCUCUGUUUGUUGCCUUGCAAUGUUCAUUGAGAGGGAGGGGAGUCGGGGAUGGCUGAUUGUUUAACCAUUCAAGUCAGCUGAUAAACGAGUCGGGGAUGGCUGAUUGUUUAACCAUUCAAGUCAGCUGAUAAACGAAUCGGGGAUGGCUGAUUGUUUAACCAUUCAAUCAGCUGAUAAACGAAAGAGAUUAGUUGCCAAGAAUUUUGAAUUUUCUCUCACGCUGUGUUCAUGACGUACUUAACAUAUUUUACAUUGUUCCAAACAUGAAUCAUUAUGAGUCAAGUCUCACCCCAGUCCUCAUGACUUCAGUAUUUCCGUAGUGCCACUUUUCUGGAAGUUUUCACUCCCUGACUUGAACAUAUUUGUGAAUGAAAGUGUACGUCCCUGUUUAUGUACAAUGUGAACAUUUCUUUUCGCGUAAGUUCUCCUAAUUUCUGAAAAUUUUGCAAGAAUGAGAAGAUGUCCAUCAACCAUUUUAUUUCCUGUAUUUAUGUUCAACCCUCAAUGGAGCAUGGUAGUAUUUGUGUUUUUGUACUUGCUUCUUUAUCUGUUUAGUUCCCUGUUUACCUUCAUUAAUAGUGACGUCUUCUUAUGACUAUGGUCAUUAUCAACUCACAAAGUUUGAACGAUGUUUAACUAUCUUGUAGAUUUAUUAUUUUUUUGCAAGGUUGCUUUUUCCCCGUGUCUGAUCUUCGUCUUCAUAAAGUUCUAAUCAACUUUUUAAAGUGUUGUAGUCUCUGCAGAAAUUUUAUAAUGACAGAAUAUUUCGGUGACUCUUGAUGCAAGGUUGUACUGUGCUGCACGUCAAAUCACAAAGUUUGAACGGUGUCCUAUCAUGUGGAGUUUUUGUGCUUUGCAAAGUCGGUUUUUCCUCCCACAUCUUAUCCUUUUGAAGCCUUCAUAAAGUUACGAAUCGACCUCUCAAAGUGUUGUGGUCUUUGCAGCAAUACGAUAAUGGCAGAUGGUUUCGAUGACUCUUGAUGCAAUUGUUAUACUGUGCUGCAAUUCUGGUUGAAAAGGGGGGAGGGGUGUGAAUAGUUCAGCGAAACAAAUAUUAUUUACACCUCCAAUUCUAACAUAACUACGCAGGUCUUUUCCCCGCUGACAACUACAAUACAGGUUUGUCUGUGUGCUAGCUCAGAAAUGUGCCCCAACCCCCUUUUGCUCACUUUGUUUGAUCCUUCGUUAUGGUUAUGUUCAUCAGCCUUAACUGUCAGACCUUGCCGUCAUGCCCACUCCUUACCUCUUAAAAUCCUAUGUGUGCUUACCUUGCCCUGAAUUUUCUUGCCAUGAAAGGCAGAAGCACACCUUUAUGUGAAUCUUUCUAGUUAAGAUAUUCCCUAAAAAAUUUAGCUGAUCAGAGUUGGAAUUGCGUUUCUCUAGUUAGUAUUCAGAUUUAUGUUUGAUUGCUUUUAUUUGUGAAGGUCAAAAGGUCAGCAUGGUAGUAUUGUUCAGUCUGCACCAGCCUUAAUAAUAGCCACUAGUAUUGCCCUAUAUAUACACCAGUUCCUGUCAACAUUUUUAUAGCCAGCGCCUACUUUUGCCACAUUUAAGCGAUUAAAUUUUCGUACCGCCCACCUACAUCCAGCGGGACAUAAAAUAACACCGGUCACUACCUAUAUGAUCCCCACUGCCCACCAAAAUUACCAAAUUGCCCAGUAGUGUGUGUGUGGUACUGCCCAGGUUGGCAAGCACUGCCUUAUAAAGCUCUCUGUGUGUUCUUCCUCUUCUAGUGCACUCUUUACAUUUGUCCUGGUCACAUGGCCUUUGCAUCGACACAUUUCUUGACAACCCUGUGAUGCCUUCCUCAUUGUACAUCAUUAUGAUGUGUGGGUGGGUGGUACUCUGGAGCAAGUUCACCCCCUUCCACAUUGUUUCAAGUGUCACUUAAUAAGUCCUUCUCUGCUUCCUGGUGAAAUGUGGCUGUCAUCUCGCUGACUCGCUGUAAAAGACAGCCUAAAUAAAUGUAUUUUAGAGCCACACAAACACGUACACACAUGCCACCUUGUCCUGUCAGUGUCUUGUCAUAGGCUGGAGUUUGGGGUUGUCCAGUACAUAUCUUGUGAUUAAAUUCUACAGUGCUCCUGCACUAUAUCAUCCCAGUGAAUUUCAAACAGAUUUAUUCGUUAUAUCCUUUUUCUACGUUUUUGAAUUUUUCAAUUGUUGUGUUGUGAAGGACAAGGGUCUGGAAUCUCAUUUCUUUGUAAGUAUUAAGCCCCUUUCCGACUCGUGGGCUUUGCAUCGUGAGCUGUCCCCUACAUUAUGUAUAUCCAUUCGAAACAAAGGGAGCUAUGAUAGUUCAGUUGGUAUAAUGCUUUAACUACAGUGCAAAUGGCCAAGGUUUAAAUUCCAAAUGGAAGUUUUUGGACAGUUUGUGUAGGGAGUUUUUAUUUAUGGUACCAUAAAUUUCAAAAUGGCGGUCAGUGCUGGUUGUGUUUCAUGUAAACAGAAUUGGUACAGAUUUUUUUUGGUGGAAGUUUCUAUUGGGACUUAAGCUCUAGGUUUGGGUAUGUGUAGAGAAAUGGUGUCAGUUGUAGUUGUUUACUGUACAAACCAUGUGCUGUGUUAUGGACUCGAGAGUUGAGAAGUCGUCUUGUCUGAAAGCAACCGUAGAUCCUGAAUCCAUCCAGUGUGUUUAGAAAGUGUGGAAGUCCUCAUUGUUUAGAUGUGGUUCACAAACACGAGUUCUUGAAUCGUAAUAUGUGUCAGUUAAGAUUCUCUGUCAGUCCAAUAAUUGAACCUCUCCAAUUAACUGAAUGUAGUCUUAGAAAUUACGUUGGUUAUGUGGGUUCUGAAAAGCAUGCGUGUUGUGAUUGCAGAACAUUGACCUACAAUGGACUAAAAACACUGACCCAGGGCUUACGUUCUGGUGUGAUAAUGCUUUACUUUUCCUUUCCUUCUACCUCUUGGUGCGGGUGCUUGAUGGCUGCUCCUGUGUUGCCUGCUCCUUGUACUUCUUUUUAUCGUAUUUAUUGUUCUUUUCUAUGCCUGGCAAAAAUGUGUCUGGUGUUGUGCUGAUUGAGAGAAAACAAAAGCUUGGACGAUAUCCCGUUAUAUGUGUAAUGUUGUCCAAAGUGGAGAGGUGGCACAAUGUUACCUUUUGUGUACAGUCAUCAAUUUGUCAUGGCCCCAAGGCCUCAGUUAUCGUUUUAACAUUUGGUUCAGCUAGCCAAAUGACGUUGACUGCACUCUGUUCCCCUGUGGAAUUUGUAGCUUACGUUUUGUAGAAUUGCGUACAAUGCUUCAAUGUUACUACAUUGUCUUGUACGAGUUUUAAAAGAAUAGUCAGUCCCUGUUUCAUUCUGUCCGAAACUGGAUUCAUUAGCUUUUUGCCCUGGGCUGUUGUGUCCUCUUAGUGAAGUUAUCAAGGUUACUGUCACAGGAGAGGAUUUUAAGGCAUGGUGAAAAAGAUUGGUGAAACAGGGACAUGUUCAAGUCCAUGUGUUUACUGUCAGUCGAACUUGGACUCGUUUGUUGUAUAUGAUUUCACAGUGUUAAAUGAUAGCUUUAAUGGAUGACAUUCACAUUAUAAGAGAACAGAGAAGAUGUAUUAAUUUAUUGAAAGCUGUACUCAAGUUUGAAAAUAGUUUGCUGCAAGGUUUGAGGCCAUAUCUCACUUGGUUGGUGUGUUGCGUAAUUCGGCAAACAGCCCUUGGCAGGAAAGAAUAGGAUAAGAUAAUGAUUAGGUGAUUCUGAAGCGUCUGUUGUUGCUCAAUACAUUGUUGAGGGGACUGUAGGCCCCCCCCCCCCCCCCCCAGACCUGACCAUCGACUCGCGAUAUUAUCUCCCUUUGUUACUACCAUGACUUGCUCUCAUGAUAUUACUGUCAGACGGAGAAUUAUGCAACGGUACUGGAGGUGAGCGUUCUUCUAUGAGUUGUGUUGAUUUUGACUCUCAGAUGUGUGUAUGAAUGUAAAAAUGAUUCACAUACUGUAGUAAUUCCAGAACCAUGCUUUUAGACAUGAAGUCUUUUAUUUUUAUUUUAGAAUUUUAAUCAUGAGCUUCUUGUAAAGUGCAUCAUCAUCAUUUUGCCUCCUCCAUUGUGAUUAGUUAUCUCAUGAGUACUAACAGUGCUGACAUUGUGCUUGUUUGAGUUUUGCUUAAUCUCCUCAAUCAACUGAGAUUUACUUUGUGAAUUUAACAUUUUGUGUUCAUGACUGUCUUCAUCCUAUUUUAAUUUUAUUUAUAAGAGAUUUGGUUGUUGGGCGAAAAGCCUGUCUGUGUUUCCUUAUGCAAAGUUUAGCAUUACCCUUCCCAUCUGGUUGCACAUCGUAGGUUCGAGGCUGCAAUCAAAUCUCAUCAUGACAACCUCUUUGCCGAUAUAUCUCUACUCUACAGGCAAUGGGUUUAUUCUUUGUUUCUUCUCCGUCUUCAAAGAGAAGGUUUGUUGGUCAGUCGCAUGUCAUUUUUUCUGGUCUGCUGUAUCUUACAGGAUUAAAUUAGUUAUUGUUGUUUGGACUUGUUUCCGGCCAAAAUAGUCAUAUCUCUGGUUAUGAAAUGCACCAAAAAAGUCAAUCAAAUGAAAAAAUUUCGAUACAUGGUUUUUAUUUUAUAUUUAUGGUCUGUUUCCGCUACAUUUAAUUGAAAACAUAAAUUUCUCUGUUUAAAAGUAUUGAUAAUGUGCUAAAUUUGAUGUCAUCUUAGGCACAAGAAUUUUCAUAAGGUUUCGUUUUGCUGUUAAUUCAAGUUUUACCUUGGUUACUUGAA
RNAcentral lists this unclassified non-coding RNA (19093 nucleotides) under Aplysia californica (California sea hare). RNAcentral's name for it is "neural-cadherin, transcript variant X1". Lineage: Eukaryota; Metazoa; Mollusca; Gastropoda; Aplysiida; Aplysiidae. The record is from RNAcentral.